CUUAUUUUCCUCCACUGUAGAAAAAGGGAGGGAGCUUUGAUGAAAACAAAAUUGUAGGAGCGUAGAUACCCUACUGAUAAAAAAAUAAUAAGAAAAGAACAAGAUAAGAGAGACAUAGACAGAUAGGGAGAUAAAGAUAGACAGAAUGGGUUAAGAAAGAGAAAAUGUGUUCAGGAAAAUGAAAGAGAGAGAACGAGGGAGGGAAGCAGGAUGAAUGGUAAAAAAAAAAAAAAAUAGAGUGAGAGAUGAAGUCAAUUAAAUAAAUGAGUAAUGUGGAUUGAGUGAGGAAAAAAAAUUAACAAGUGAGACAGAAAACAUAAAAGAAAACUGAGAGAAAGAUAGAAAGGGAGAGGAUGAAUGAGAGGAAUGAAGGAUGGAGCUUGGGUGAGACCGAGGCAGAAAGAGGCACAGAUAGACAGAACCACAAAAUAACUGGAGAGGGAGAGAGAGUGAGAGAGAAUUGUGAGAAACAAAGUGAUAAAGGGGAGGGAGAAAGAAAGAAAUACUGGAGAUAGAAAGACCAAAAUAAAAUGAGAAUGAACAUUAACGAUAGAAUUACACAGAGGAAAAGUGAAAGAAUGAGGGAUUGAGACCCUGAAGAGAGAAAAUGAAAGGAGAAGGAAGAGUGGAGUUUGGAUAAGAGAGAAUGAGAGAAAGACAUGAUGUAAACAGAAAAGAGAACAAAUGCGUUGAAGAGAAAUAGUGAGAGGGAAGGAGGGAAGAGGGGGACAGUGUGAAUGAGAAAGAUUGAGAAAGGAGGGAGAGGAAAUUAUAUCUUUAAAAAGAGAUACGGAAUGAAGGAAGGACGUCGAAAGAGAGGAUGAAUAAAGAAAGAACGAAGGAUGGAGUUUGGAGUUGAGAGAAAUACAGGAAAGGAAUGGGGAAAUGCGGGGAUGGAAGCAAACAGGGGAGGAGGGAGUUAAUGACAGAGGGGUGAGGGAGAUGGGGACAGAAAGAGAGGAGGGGACGGAGGAAAAGAGAACAAGGUAUGGAGGUUGCAUGAGGGAGACAGAGAAAACAAG
Molecule: long non-coding RNA, 1022 nt
Organism: Ictalurus punctatus (channel catfish)
Lineage: Eukaryota; Metazoa; Chordata; Actinopteri; Siluriformes; Ictaluridae
Source: Ensembl